GUCGCGAUGUUGCGCCGCGCCAUGCCCCCCACGUGUGGGCAAGCCCUCUACUGUGCCCGCUCCAUUUCAUCGAGCACGCCAAUGCACUUGCCCUCUCCUACUCUUGCUUUGUGUCUCCUCGCUCGCCUACUCCCUCCUCCUCGUCUCCCACUCUAACACUGUGCCUCCAUGGAUGCCGACGGGUAGCUCACGGACGUGCCCCCAUCAUCCUCCUCCGUCCGAGCCUCAGCCAUAGUCGUCUUCCUCGAGCUUCUACGAGCGACGUGUGUGCUUCCCUGGAGCUCAAGCACGCUGGAGUGGCUCCAGUCGACAUUGAUGUUCAUCACUGUUGAUUGCGCUUGCAGAUCUGCCUCCUCUGUUCACCUCUCGGCGAGCCAAAGACGCUAUCUAGCUCGCCUUCGACCGCCGCUUCUCCCAGCCACCUUGCACUGCUCGUCUCAUCACUGGAUCGCAGGAGGGAGUACUAAUAGAAAGAGCCAAGGAGUUGCAGGAGAUUUCUACUAAGAAAGUUGAACCUGAAGCCAACGCUCAGGAGUGUCUUGACGAUCAUCCUAGUUCCUUCGAGAAAGGCAACCCGACAUCUAAUUCCCAUGAUUUACAAUAAUUGUUUGUGCACCUACCUGCCUAUGCUUGUUGCUUUAAGUUGUAGGAGUUGUUUGAAAACAAUUGUUGCAUUAUCCUCGAUUUACCAUUGUUAUCCUACCCUUGUUACCUAGUUAAGUAAGUAUGCUUAAUUACUUAGGCUGGCUUAGAACGGUAGGAGUCUGGUGAUUUCCUGUCACCUGCGAGAUAUAGGUGGACACUUUAUGCUUGAUUGGGUAUUUUCAUUAGGAAACAUUAAUGCUUGUGUGAA
Long non-coding RNA from Zea mays, 853 nucleotides. RefSeq lists it as uncharacterized. The transcript is spliced from 2 exons. The record is from RefSeq and is a predicted model, not a curated record. NCBI's taxonomy places the organism in Eukaryota, Viridiplantae, Streptophyta, Magnoliopsida, Poales, Poaceae.